UACGGGGGGGGCAAGCGUUGUUCGGAAUUACUGGGCGUAAAGGGCUCGUAGGCGGCCAACUAAGUCAGACGUGAAAUCCCUCGGCUUAACCGGGGAACUGCAUCUGAUACUGGAUGGCUUGAGUUCGGGAGAGGGGUGCGGAAUUCCAGGUGUAGCGGUGAAAUGCGUAGAUAUCUGGAGGAACACCGGUGGCGAAGGCGGCAUCCUGGACCGGCACUGACGCUGAGGAGCGAAAGCCAGGGGAGCAAACGGG
Molecule: ribosomal RNA, 253 nt
Filed under: uncultured bacterium
Lineage: Bacteria
Description: partial 16S ribosomal RNA
Rfam family: Bacterial small subunit ribosomal RNA
Source: RNAcentral